This 87-nucleotide transfer RNA is filed under the name Leptolyngbyaceae cyanobacterium MAG.088. Its description in RNAcentral is "tRNA-Ser". It matches the Rfam family "tRNA". Rfam says of the family: Transfer RNA (tRNA) molecules are approximately 80 nucleotides in length. Their secondary structure includes four short double-helical elements and three loops (D, anti-codon, and T loops). The record is from RNAcentral. RNAcentral also lists the same sequence under 4 other names. Lineage: Bacteria; Bacillati; Cyanobacteriota; Cyanophyceae; Leptolyngbyales; Leptolyngbyaceae.
GGAGAGGUGGCAGAGUGGUUGAAUGCGGUAGACUCGAAAUCUAUUAUGGGCUUAGGUUCAUCGGGGGUUCGAAUCCCCCCCUCUCCG